Molecule: ribosomal RNA, 741 nt
Filed under: Rothia mucilaginosa
Lineage: Bacteria; Bacillati; Actinomycetota; Actinomycetes; Micrococcales; Micrococcaceae
Description: bacterial SSU rRNA
Rfam family: Bacterial small subunit ribosomal RNA
Source: RNAcentral
GACGAACGCUGGCGGCGUGCUUAACACAUGCAAGUCGAACGAUGAAGCAUAGCUUGCUAGGUGGAUUAGUGGCGAACGGGUGAGUAAUACGUGAGUAACCUACCUUUAACUCUGGGAUAAGCCUGGGAAACUGGGUCUAAUACCGGAUACGACCAAUCUCCGCAUGGGGUGUUGGUGGAAAGCGUUAUGUAGUGGUUAUAGAUGGGCUCACGGCCUAUCAGCUUGUUGGUGAGGUAACGGCUCACCAAGGCGACGACGGGUAGCCGGCCUGAGAGGGUGACCGGCCACACUGGGACUGAGACACGGCCCAGACUCCUACGGGAGGCAGCAGUGGGGAAUAUUGCACAAUGGGCGCAAGCCUGAUGCAGCGACGCCGCGUGAGGGAUGACGGCCUUCGGGUUGUAAACCUCUGUUAGCAGGGAAGAAGAGAGAUUGACGGUACCUGCAGAGAAAGCGCCGGCUAACUACGUGCCAGCAGCCGCGGUAAUACGUAGGGCGCGAGCGUUGUCCGGAAUUAUUGGGCGUAAAGAGCUUGUAGGCGGUUUGUCGCGUCUGCUGUGAAAGGCCGGGGCUUAACUCCGUGUAUUGCAGUGGGUACGGGCAGACUAGAGUGCAGUAGGGGAGACUGGAAUUCCUGGUGUAGCGGUGGAAUGCGCAGAUAUCAGGAGGAACACCGAUGGCGAAGGCAGGUCUCUGGGCUGUAACUGACGCUGAGAAGCGAAAGCAUGGGGAGCGAACAGG